UUUUUAAUAAGGUUGGCUAGGGGCUUAUCGAUUUUAUUUAUUCUUUCAAAGAACCAACUCUUUGAUUCGUUGAUUCUUUGGAUUGUUUUCUUAGUCUCUAUUGCAUUGAUUUCUGCUCUGAUUUUUAUAAUUUCCUCUCUUCUUUUGGCUUUGGGCUUGACUUGCUCUUCUUUUUCUAGCUGUUUGAGGUGUAGCAUCAAGUUAUUUAUUUGUAUUCGUUCUGUUUUCCUGAUGUGGGAACUCAGUGCAAUAAAUUUUCCUCUCAGAACGGCUUUCAUUGCAUCCCACAGAUUCCGAGCAUCUGGCAAACAUAAACUUGGAAGUAUGGAAGAACAUUCAUGUUAACAAUGGCUACUUUCCAAAGAACAGUAAGGGACAUAUAUUUAAAAAACAACAACAAAAGCACAAACCACAGUCGUCUGCCACAAAAGUAAUGACUGUGGGAAUCACAGAGGACGGUGAUAAUGAGCGGAAGGCUGGGCCUUGAAGACAUGCCAGUGACAUUAAUUUAAUGAGGACUCAAUUAUAAAAACAAAGAUGACUUUCACUUCUAUUUUUAAUUGUAUGUAUGAAAAGUAAACCUUGGAAAUAUGAAAGAACCAAAUAAAGUCACCAAAUAAGAAUAACUUAAACUCCUUUUCUGAUCUUCGUUUUGGAGGAAUAGAACAGAGACUCUUUUGGCAGGCAAUAGAUAAAUAUAAGCAAACCGCAAGCCCUUGAUUUUGCCAUAAGUGGCAAAAUGCAUGAUGGAAACAAGUCUGAGAGAGUCUGAGUUGAUAAACAUGGAGGCAAUUAUUGUUCUUAUUUAUUGGCUUCUAAAGCACAUCUUGCUUAAUACAAGGUGCUGUCAACAAAACAGAAGAUCUACUACAACCCCGCAAUGGAGAUAGUCUGAGAGGACAGAGCCAGGCAAAGCAUGCUCAGCUCCUUCAGAAAAGAAAGCAUUGUACUGGGAGUCGUGUGCAUAAAAGUUUCACUAAAUGAGGAUGACAAU
Molecule: long non-coding RNA, 994 nt
Organism: Cavia porcellus (domestic guinea pig)
Lineage: Eukaryota; Metazoa; Chordata; Mammalia; Rodentia; Caviidae
Exons: 2
Source: RefSeq, a predicted model, not a curated record